AGGACGAACGCUGGCGGCGUGCUUAACACAUGCAAGUCGAGCGGAAAGGCCUUUCGGGGUACUCGAGCGGCGAACGGGUGAGUAACACGUGAGUAAUCUGCCCAUCGCUUCAGGAUAGCCAUCGGAAACGGUGAUUAAUACUGGAUAUGACAUUCCUUCGCAUGUUGGGGUGUGGUAAAGUUUUUUCGGCGGUGGAUGUGCUCGCGGCCUAUCAGCUUGUUGGUGGGUAAUGGCCUACCAAGGCUUUGGACGGGUAGCCGGCCUGAGAGGGUGACCGGCCACGACUGGACUGAGACACCGGCCAGACUCCGUACGGGAGGCAGCGAGGUGGGGAAUAGUUGGACAAGUGGGCGAAGCUGACUCCAGACAACGGCCGCGUAGGACGGAGUCGGACGGUCCGUUUCGGGUUACGGUAAACCUUCGUUUAC
Molecule: ribosomal RNA, 428 nt
Filed under: uncultured soil bacterium
Lineage: Bacteria
Description: bacterial SSU rRNA
Rfam family: Bacterial small subunit ribosomal RNA
Source: RNAcentral